RNAcentral lists this ribosomal RNA (253 nucleotides) under uncultured bacterium. Its description in RNAcentral is "partial 16S ribosomal RNA". It matches the Rfam family "Bacterial small subunit ribosomal RNA", at positions 524 to 776 of the family's 1533-position model. The record is from RNAcentral.
UACGGGGGGGGCAAGCGUUGUUCGGAAUUACUGGGCGUAAAGGGCUCGUAGGCGGCCAACUAAGUCGGACGUGAAAUCCCUCAGCUUAACUGGGGAACUGCGUCUGAUACUGGAUGGCUUGGAUUCGGGAGAGGGAUGCGGAAUUCCAGGUGUAGCGGUGAAAUGCGUAGAUAUCUGGAGGAACACCGGUGGCGAAGGCGGCAUCCUGGACCGAUAUUGACGCUGAGGAGCGAAAGCGUGGGGAGCGAACAGG